RNAcentral lists this ribosomal RNA (431 nucleotides) under uncultured Alishewanella sp. Its description in RNAcentral is "bacterial SSU rRNA". It matches the Rfam family "Bacterial small subunit ribosomal RNA", at positions 952 to 1382 of the family's 1533-position model. The record is from RNAcentral. Lineage: Bacteria; Pseudomonadati; Pseudomonadota; Gammaproteobacteria; Alteromonadales; Alteromonadaceae.
CGACGCAACGCGAAGAACCUUACCUACUCUUGACAUCUACAGAAGAACGCAGAGAUGUGUUUGUGCCUUCGGGAACUGUAAGACAGGUGCUGCAUGGCUGUCGUCAGCUCGUGUUGUGAAAUGUUGGGUUAAGUCCCGCAGCGAGCGCAACCCUUAUCCUUAGUUGCCAGCGAUUCGGUCGGGAACUCGUAGGGAGACUGCCGGUGAAUAAACCGGAGGAAGGUGGGACGACGUCAAGUCAUCAUGGCCCUUACGAGUAGGGCUACACACGUGCUACAAUGGUAUGUACAGAGGGAGGCAAGCUGGCGACAGUGAGCGGAUCUCUUAAAGCAUAUCGUAGUCCGGAUUGGAGUCUGCAACUCGACUCCAUGAAGUCGGAAUCGCUAGUAAUCGCAAAUCAGAAUGUUGCGGUGAAUACGUUCCCGGGCCUU